GAUGGCGGAGUGAGGCGUGCGGCUGGUGACUGGCCUCUGGGCCCGGGGCGGGCCGGCCCCUAGGAGGCCGAGUGCGUCUGUCCGGCCGUGCGAGGUUCCUUAUCACAGGAAGAACAUUUUCCUUGACCUUUAGGUGCUUUCGUAUUCAUCUCAAAAACAAAAUGCUAAACUCAGGACUUGGAAAGUAUCUCUGUGUUGUCUCUUAUAGCGGGCAAUCUGACUUCUUUUAUCCAGCCACUUUCCCUGUUCUUGAAAUGUGGAUAUCUCUUCUCUACACAUUACCUCCACGAUUUGGAAUGGAAAAGACCAGGUUUUUUGUUCCACCUCUCAGAUUCUACACAGAGAAGCCCCUAAAACGUGUUUAUCCUGCCUACUUCUCCAGGAAGAGAGAAGCAACUGACAUGGGUCUUCUGCUGCUGCUUGCUUAAUUGUAAAGAAAUUAUUUUGGAAGCUAAAGGCUAAUGUUUCAUUUGAAACAGGUGCUUAGAUGGUGGUAUUUGUGAAUAUUUUAUUAUUUGUUCCAAAUGAGAAGACGAAGUAAAUAGCAAGUAUGGAUGACUUCAGGGUUUUUUAAAUGUCUUCCAGUUUCAGCCACUAUCAUGAUAAGAAGUUGAGACUGCAGAAUAAAUUCCAAAUAUGCAUUCUAAUUUGAAAUGAAAGACGCUAAAAAGUUACAUAAUGAUAUACCUAAUCCUGGCUCAUCCUAAAACUGAUUACAAGAGUAAACAAAGAUACUGUUUUACAAUUAAAGCUUCGAUGUGAUAAAAGCAGCAUAGAAACCAACUAUCAAUUUCUUAUGCAAACAUACCUUCACAGUGUCUGUGCAAGUACAGUUUUACAUGUGUAAAUCCCCAUUUUUGGAUCAGAAGAGGGAUUUUUCUCCAAGACAAAGAAGGUGUCUUCUCAAAAGGCUUUGGACAUUUGAUUUCUAAAAAUGUUUUUUAUUCUAAGGAAGUACCAGAUUGUGCAGCAGUUAACCUGUGAGUGCAUGCUUGGGUUUAGUGAAAGGAUAGUAAAACAGUUUUGAGUCUAGUGAUGGACCUUUUCUCCUUCCUCAGAAGAGAGGCUGCUUCAAUUGCUUCAUUCUUUUUUGUGGAAUCUUAUAUAGCAUUUUAGACUUUGUUUUCCACAUUGCUAAGACUGGAAGAAAAGUGGCAGUAAGUGGUUUUUCAGUUCAGAAGAUGUGAG
Otolemur garnettii (small-eared galago) is the source of this 1188-nucleotide long non-coding RNA. RefSeq lists it as uncharacterized. NCBI's taxonomy places the organism in Eukaryota, Metazoa, Chordata, Mammalia, Primates, Galagidae. The record is from RefSeq and is a predicted model, not a curated record. The transcript is spliced from 3 exons.